Non-coding RNA from Danio rerio (zebrafish), 691 nucleotides. The record is from RefSeq and is a predicted model, not a curated record. Lineage: Eukaryota; Metazoa; Chordata; Actinopteri; Cypriniformes; Danionidae.
CAUUGUUUUCCCCGUUUUAAAGCACACAGUUCUUCUUGAGUCUAUAUCUAGGGCUUGCGAAAAUACCUUUGGGCACUUUGUAGAGGCUUUUUAGAUCCAAAUUCGUCUGUUGUAGUGACCUCCAAUCAGUUCCCAAUAGAUUAAAACAAAUUCCCUCUUAUGUUUAUUUUUCCAGAAGCCAUCUCACUUACAAAUACACCAAAUCAGCACUAAAUAGUUACGAAAUAAAAGGCACAACUGGAUUAUGCUGAUUUUAAAUUUCCAGCAGUACUGAUGCCUACAGGCUUUUUUUUGGUUCUCGUUCUGGAAGUGCUGUCUCACAUGCUGACGGUCCAGGCCAAAGGAAACAUGGACGGGGAAGUCCUCGAAAAUCUGAAAGCAAGGCUGGAGCAGUGGUUGAGGUCAAGAAGGAGGAGCAGCCUGAAGAGGAAAAAGAUGACGUUGUUGAUGCAGGCGCUCUUGAUGAUCAAGGUGACAGUGAUUAUAAACCAGCUGAUGAGGAGGCCAGAUCAAGACUGGCUGUCAAGCACUUCACUCCUUUUCCCUCCUGCUCUUCAUCAUCUCCCGCAUCUACCUCACAGAAAUGUCCUCGCAGGAUGGUGGGACCUCCUCGCAUAUGUCUUUCAGAUUCAGGCUAGGGUUAGUCUAGCUUUUUGGGUCACAGAGGUAAAAUAAGUGAAGUUUUACAAAC